This 497-nucleotide ribosomal RNA is filed under the name uncultured bacterium. RNAcentral describes it as "partial 16S ribosomal RNA". It matches the Rfam family "Bacterial small subunit ribosomal RNA", at positions 28 to 507 of the family's 1533-position model. The record is from RNAcentral.
GAUGAACGCUGGCGGCGUGCCUAAUACAUGCAAGUCGAGCGAACGGACGAGAAGCUUGCUUCUCUGAUGUUAGCGGCGGACGGGUGAGUAACACGUGGAUAACCUACCUAUAAGACUGGGAUAACUUCGGGAAACCGGAGCUAAUACCGGAUAAUAUUUUGAACCGCAUGGUUCAAAAGUGAAAGACGGUCUUGCUGUCACUUAUAGAUGGAUCCGCGCUGCAUUAGCUAGUUGGUAAGGUAACGGCUUACCAAGGCAACGAUGCAUAGCCGACCUGAGAGGGUGAUCGGCCACACUGGAACUGAGACACGGUCCAGACUCCUACGGGAGGCAGCAGUAGGGAAUCUUCCGCAAUGGGCGAAAGCCUGACGGAGCAACGCCGCGUGAGUGAUGAAGGUCUUCGGCUCGAAAAACUCUGUUAUUAGGGAAGAACAUAUGUGUAAGUAACUGUGCACCUCUUGACGGUACCUAAUCAGAAAGCCACGGCUAACUACGUG